GGGGCAUAGCUCAGCUGGGAGAGCGCUUGCCUUACAAGCAAGAUGUCACAAGUUCGAGUCUUGUUGUCCCC
Molecule: transfer RNA, 71 nt
Filed under: chicken gut metagenome
Rfam family: tRNA
About the family: Transfer RNA (tRNA) molecules are approximately 80 nucleotides in length. Their secondary structure includes four short double-helical elements and three loops (D, anti-codon, and T loops).
Source: RNAcentral